This 665-nucleotide ribosomal RNA is filed under the name uncultured Alphaproteobacteria bacterium. Its description in RNAcentral is "bacterial SSU rRNA". It matches the Rfam family "Bacterial small subunit ribosomal RNA", at positions 64 to 774 of the family's 1533-position model. Lineage: Bacteria; Pseudomonadati; Pseudomonadota; Alphaproteobacteria. The record is from RNAcentral.
GAGCGCCCCCGCGAGGGGAGCGGCGGACGGGUGAGUAACGCGUGGGAACGUACCCUUUGCUACGGAAUAGCCUCGGGAAACUGGGAGUAAUACCGUAUGUGCCCUUCGGGGGAAAGAUUUAUCGGCAAAGGAUCGGCCCGCGUUGGAUUAGGUAGUUGGUGGGGUAAUGGCCUACCAAGCCGACGAUCCAUAGCUGGUUUGAGAGGAUGAUCAGCCACACUGGGACUGAGACACGGCCCAGACUCCUACGGGAGGCAGCAGUGGGGAAUCUUAGACAAUGGGCGCAAGCCUGAUCUAGCCAUGCCGCGUGAGCGAAGAAGGCCUUUAGGGUUGUAAAGCUCUUUCAGUGGGGAAGAUAAUGACUGUACCCACAGAGAGAAGCCCCGGCUAACUCCGUGCCAGCAGCCGCGGUAAUACGGAGGGGGCUAGCGUUGUUCGGAAUUACUGGGCGUAAAGCGCACGUAGGCGGACUGGAAAGUCAGAGGUGAAAUCCCAGGGCUCAACCUUGGAACUGCCUUUGAAACUCCCGGUCUUGAGGUCGAGAGAGGUGAGUGGAAUUCCGAGUGUAGAGGUGAAAUUCGUAGAUAUUCGGAGGAACACCAGUGGCGAAGGCGGCUCACUGGCUCGAUACUGACGCUGAGGUGCGAAAGCGUGGGGAGCAAACA